Molecule: transfer RNA, 82 nt
Filed under: Bowdeniella nasicola
Lineage: Bacteria; Bacillati; Actinomycetota; Actinomycetes; Actinomycetales; Actinomycetaceae
Description: Actinomyces nasicola tRNA
Rfam family: tRNA
About the family: Transfer RNA (tRNA) molecules are approximately 80 nucleotides in length. Their secondary structure includes four short double-helical elements and three loops (D, anti-codon, and T loops).
Source: Rfam by way of RNAcentral
GCGCGAGUGGCGAAAUUGGUAUACGCGCUGGAUUUAGGUUCCAGUGUCUUCGGACGUGCGGGUUCAAGUCCCGCCUCGCGCA